Molecule: long non-coding RNA, 915 nt
Organism: Cyprinus carpio carpio
Lineage: Eukaryota; Metazoa; Chordata; Actinopteri; Cypriniformes; Cyprinidae
Source: Ensembl
CGUUUUUUUACUCCUACUGUCAUAGAUGCAAGAAAAAAGAGACAACCAAUAAUAUAUAUAUAUAUAUAUAUAUAUAUAUAAAAUCUCAAAUAUAAUUGUCCCUAGUAUGAUUUGAAUUUACACAAUCACAUUCACACAAACGUGCUAUUACUAUCUACUUGUGUAGGCUCUUCAGUCGUUAUGCUGAAUUUAAAAUGGCUCUUGUCUUGGGUGUUGUCCAACAGCACAGUGGGCCAAGUAGGGAAGGACGUGGGAUAGGGGACUAACUGAGCUUGGCUCGACCCGAGGGUUGUCAUGCAGGGCUGCUGAAAAUAAACUAGCCUUCUCCAAGUUCUCACCUAUCUCUUUCACACCCCUCUGGCCUCCUCCCUCUCUCUUUUUUACUCUUUCUCUCACCACUUCUAUUUUUUUUUGUUUACACUCAACAUCUCCCUUAAGACAAGAUGUUUCCAAACACCAAGAGCAGAUGUCAAAAUGAAGCGAUUUGGCCCACAGAGAGCAACGUGAUGACUAUCUACUAUUCCUGACACAAAACAUGAGGAGACUGACAGACAGGAAAGAGUGUGAGAAGAGGAUUUGCAGGAUAGAAGCUGAUUUAUCAUGGCUCUCAAGUUUGACAUACAGUACUGCUGUAGAUGAAAACUGCUCCCAUGUGAUGCUGUAUGGUUGCCAGGGCAGGAGCUGCCUCAGUCUCCUUGGGACCUCGUUCGGAAGCGUCUGAGCCAACGUAUUACCAUACAUCUUAAAGGCCUGUCAGAGUGCACUCUGGAUGAGAUGACGUACGACUCCCUGAUCCCUCUACAGCUGCUGCAGAACUAUGUCCGUCUGGUGGAACAGUACCAUAACGUCAUCUUCCACGGGCUGGAGGGCAGCUUUCAGGAGUACAUCGCCAACCAGAUCUCUCAUUAUAUCAAG